GGCAGCGUGCUCCCACCGAGGUGGAAGC
Molecule: small RNA, 28 nt
Filed under: Bombyx mori (domestic silkworm)
Lineage: Eukaryota; Metazoa; Arthropoda; Insecta; Lepidoptera; Bombycidae
Description: ovarian small RNA-17380
Source: RNAcentral